This 500-nucleotide ribosomal RNA is filed under the name uncultured bacterium. Its description in RNAcentral is "partial 16S ribosomal RNA". It matches the Rfam family "Bacterial small subunit ribosomal RNA", at positions 30 to 523 of the family's 1533-position model. The record is from RNAcentral.
AUUGAACGCUGGCGGCAUGCCUUACACAUGCAAGUCGAACGGCAGCACGGGAGCAAUCCUGGUGGCGAGUGGCGAACGGGUGAGUAAUAUAUCGGAACGUGCCCAGUCGUGGGGGAUAACGUAGCGAAAGCUACGCUAAUACCGCAUACGAUCUACGGAUGAAAGCGGGGGAUCGCAAGACCUCGCGCGAUUGGAGCGGCCGAUAUCAGAUUAGGUAGUUGGUGAGGUAAAGGCUCACCAAGCCGACGAUCUGUAGCUGGUCUGAGAGGACGACCAGCCACACUGGGACUGAGACACGGCCCAGACUCCUACGGGAGGCAGCAGGGGGGAAUUUUGGACAAUGGGCGCAAGCCUGAUCCAGCAAUGCCGCGUGCAGGAUGAAGGCCUUCGGGUUGUAAACUGCUUUUGUACGGAACGAAACGGUGAGCUCUAAUACAGUUUGCUAAUGACGGUACCGUAAGAAUAAGCACCGGCUAACUACGUGCCAGCAGCCGCCGUAA